This is a non-coding RNA of Pteropus alecto (black flying fox), 73 nucleotides long. NCBI's taxonomy places the organism in Eukaryota, Metazoa, Chordata, Mammalia, Chiroptera, Pteropodidae. The record is from Rfam.
GGUUCCAGAGUGUGGCGGUUAGCACAUCUGCUUUACACUCAGAAGAUCCUGGAUUCACACCCCAGCGGAGCCA